GGAAGAAAAUUAGAAAAUCUUAGUCUGCCUGUUUGGACAUAGUGUUUUGCUGCCAUGGACGGCAGCAAAAGUCUUAACGUCCCAUGGACGGGACGUUUAAGACGUACACGUCGUUUUAAGAAAGCUUGAAUCAGGCAGACAUAGAUUUUCUUAUUUUCGGAC
RNAcentral lists this non-coding RNA (162 nucleotides) under human gut metagenome. The record is from RNAcentral.